UAAGCAUAUUACUAAGCGGAGGAAAAGAAACUAACUAGGAUUCCCCCCAGUAACUGCGAGUGAAGAGGGAAGAGCUCAUCAUUGGAAUCUGGCGGUGUCUUGCACCGUCCGAGUUGUAGAUGAGAUGAGUAGGCCAUCUGGACUGCAUGAUAUCCAAGUACAAUAGGCCGUCAGUGGGACAUCAUAGAGGGUGACAAUCCCGUCUUUGAUAUCAAUGUACGAGUCCUAUACGAUGCCUAUCUCUACAGAGUCGAGUAGUUUGGGAUUUGCUGCUCUAAUGUGGGAGGUAGAUUCCUUCUAAAGCUAAAUAUUGGCAAGAGACCGAUAGAGAACAAGUACCGCAAGGGAAAGAUGAAAUAGAACUCUGUAAAGGGAGUCAAAAGUCGUGAAAUUGUUGCGAGAGAAGCGAUUCAAGUCAGCUUAGCUAGGCCCAUCAAGCUACCAUACUUUGGACUAGCUUUGCCAGCAGUCUUAUCCUUUAGCGGUUUGACUCCUCCCAGGUUUUCAUCCUGUGUGCUGGUGGAAUGGCUUGCAAUCGACCCGUCUUGAAACACGGACCAAGGAGUCUAACAUGUAUGCGAGUAUAAGGGUGACAAACCCGUAUGCGCAAUGAAAGUAACUUUCGGUGAUUGCUGAAUGACCUGACGACCAUGCACGAAAUAUUUAUGCACCUCAAACGGUCAUCGCCCAAGUUCCGUGGUAUUAUCCCAUGAACAUGGAGACCCAGCAUACAUGCUAGGACCCGAAAGAUGGUGAACUAUGCCUGGGCAAAGUGAAGCCAGGGGAAACUCUGGUGGAGGCUUGCAGCGAUUCUGACGUGCAAAUCGAUCGUCUGACCUGGGUAUAGGGGCGAAAGACUAAUCGAACCAUCUCAUAGCUGGUUCCUGCCGAA
RNAcentral lists this ribosomal RNA (892 nucleotides) under Cantharellus magnus. RNAcentral's name for it is "partial large subunit ribosomal RNA". It matches the Rfam family "Eukaryotic large subunit ribosomal RNA", at positions 35 to 965 of the family's 3401-position model. The record is from RNAcentral. Lineage: Eukaryota; Fungi; Basidiomycota; Agaricomycetes; Cantharellales; Hydnaceae.